AAUGAACGUUGGCGGCGUGGAUUAGGCAUGCAAGUCGUGCGCGAAACGUAGCAAUACGUGGAGAGCGGCGAAAGGGAGAGUAAUGCAUGGUUAGCUACCCUCGGGACUGGGAUAGCGGCGGGAAACUGCCGGUAAUACCAGAUGACAUCUUCGGAUCAAACGUGUAAAUCGGCCCGAGGAGGUGACCAUGUCCUAUCAGCUAGUUGGCAGGGUAACGGCCUACCGAGGCUAAGACGGGUAUGGGGCGUGAGAGCGUGCCCCCACUCACUGGGACUGAGAACUGCCCAGACACCUACGGGUGGCUGCAGUCGAGAAUCUUCGGCAAUGGGCGCAAGCCUGACCGAGCGACGCCGCGUGCGGGAUGAAGGCC
RNAcentral lists this ribosomal RNA (370 nucleotides) under uncultured bacterium. Its description in RNAcentral is "bacterial SSU rRNA". It matches the Rfam family "Bacterial small subunit ribosomal RNA", at positions 29 to 416 of the family's 1533-position model. The record is from RNAcentral.